AAAAAGUAUUUGAUCCCCUGCUGAUUUUGUAUGUUUGCCCACUGACAAAGAAAUGAUCAGUCUAUAAUUUUAAUGGUAGGUUUAUUUGAACAGUGAGAGACAGAAUAACAAACAAAAAAAAUCCAGAAAACGCAUGUCAAAAAUGUUAUAAAAUUAUUUGCAUUUUAAUGAGGGAAAUAAGUAUUUGACCCCUCUGCAAAACAUGACUUAGUACUUGGUGGCAAAACCCUUGUUGGCAAUCACAGAGGUCAGACGUUUCUUGUAGUUGGCCACCAGGUUUGCACACACCUCAAGAGGGAUUUUGUCCCACUCCUCUUUGCAGAUCUUCUCCAAGUCAUUAAGGUUUCGAGGCUGACGUUUGGCAACUCAAACCUUCAGCUCCCUCCACAGAUUUUCUAUGGGAUUAAGGUCUGGAGACUGGCUAGGCCACUCCAGGACCUUAAUGUGCUUCUUCUUGAGCCACUCCUUUGUUGCCUUGGCCGUGUGUUUUGGGUCAUUGUCAUGCUGGAAUACCCAUCCACGACCCAUUUUCAAUGCCCUGGCUGAGGGAAGGAGGUUCUCACCCAAGAUUUGACGGUACAUGGCCCCGUCCAUCGUCCCUUUGAUGCGGUGAAGUUGUCCUGUCCCCUUAGCAGAAAAACACCCCCAAAGCAUAAUGUUUCCACCUCCAUGUUUGACAGUGGGGAUGGUGUUCUUCGGGUCAUAGGCAGCAUUCAUCCAUGGCGAGUUGAGUUGAUGCCAAAGAGCUCCAUUUUGGUCUCAUCUGACCACAACACUUUCACCAGUUGUCCUCUGAAUCAUUCAGAUGUUCAUUGGCAAACUUCAGACGGGUAUGUAUAUGUGCUUUCUUGAGCAGGGGGACCUUGCAGGAUUUCAGUCCUUCACGGCGUAGUGUGUUACCAAUUGUUUUCUUGGUGACUAUGGUCCCAGCUGCCUUGAGAUCAUUGACAAGAUCCUCCCCGUAUAGUUCUGGGCUGAUUCCUCGCCGUUCUCAUGAUCAUUGCAACUCCACGAGGUGAGAUCUUGCAUGGAGCCCCAGGCCGAGGGAGAUUGACAGUUCUUUUGUGUUUCUUCCAUUUGCGAAUAAUCUCACCAACUCACAUUAUACAUGAUUUUGAUAGUCCGACUGACAAUGUUGAUCUCUGAGUGUCACUCUGUGCCUUUGUGGGGGAUAUUUGGGCAGUGGUUCUCAACCUGGGGUACUAGCAACCCUGGGGGUAUCUGGCCUAUUCACAGGGGGUACUUGGGAAGACUCGAAUACGUAUAAUUGAGGGGAUACUUUGUGCACAGCAUUAUGGACCUGAUUUUGACGUAAUAAAUGAUGCCUUUCUUGUGCACGCCUUUCCUACGCACUUCUCAGUAGUUGGUACUCAGACUUACCUUAUGAAGGUACGUAAUGAGGUUUGCUGACGAGGUUCCCUUACGCGCAAGAAAUAUAUUGGUUUGAUUCAUCCUGAAAGUUGUCAUAUUCAAGUUCAAUCCAUGAAAUAUUGGAAGGUGGGAAAAAGUGUACAAUAGGGGUUGAACAAUAGUCCUAUAAAUCUACCCUAAGCCUUACUAAUCAUCGAACUGUAUGACAACGGUCCAGUCGUUAUGAACCGUUCGCCGAGCUCCAGGUUUAACCUGCUAAGUGUGGUCUGAGUUCCAUAAUGAUUCAAAUAGGCUACAUGUCCGAAAUGAUUGCACAACAUUAGCCUAAUGCUAGCAACACUCAGGAAGUGGAAGGUUCUAGAUGGUAUGGCUCCAUUCUGCACUGACUGUAAUUUUUAUUCCGACAUUUGGAACAACACAAAUAAUCAUAACAUUUAAAACUAUAUAAAUAUAAAAUAUAUACAUAAAUAAGACUCAUAAGUAACAAAGACAAAUAGAAACAAAUUUGUGUUGAUUUGGCACUCAACCGUCAAUACAUUACCCAUCCCCCAGCACUGUCAACCAAGAAUCAAGACUUAUCAAAUUCACCUUGGUGGUGUGCUGACUGGUUUUAUAUUAUUCUUAAUGAUUUCGCACAAACCAGAAAAAAAUGCAACAAUAUGUCUGUGAAACUAUAUAUUCACAGUAUUAUGAAUGAAUUAUGGUUUAUUUGGUAACAUUUUGUAGUGUGACUGAUUUUACUAAUUGCAUUAGUACUGUACAAAGUUCGAGGUGCGCUAUUUGAUAGAUUCCCCGCUCCCCCUACCUCGGGCUUCCAGUGAGGAGACCUGAGGUCAACCUACCCCCGCUCCCCUCCCCAUCUUGUAUUUCUGAGUGGGAGACCUUCCCAGGCAGUAGCCUGUCUAGCUCACAAACUAGAAUCAGGGAGCCCAUUCCGACAAGGUUAAUUGACCCACCGUGACAUGAUAUCAUUGACGUGACGUGCAAAUGAGCGAUAGAAAACCGAUCGCGCAAAUGUCACCAUUCUGAAUUUUUAUGCGGGCGCCCUGUGCUGCCCCUGGCAAGAUGCCGCCCUGGGCGGCUGCCCAUGUCGCCUAUACCUAAAUCCGCCACUGCCCUCAGGAACAGCUUACACAGACGUGAAAGAAAACUAACACUAAAGUGACAGUUAUAAAUGUGGGUAUAGUAUGUGGGUAUUACUGACGGUGGCCCCCGAUGGUGGCUAAUAUUUAACAUGAUACAUAUUUUUUUAUAAAACGAAGAAAAGCCUGGGCAUUGGCUAUAAUUAAACAAUUCUAAAGUGCAUACAUCAACUCUGCAGGUUCAGCCAUACAGAAGCCUAUAACUUGGGUUCAAGGGUUCUACCUGGAACCAAAAAUGUUCUCGUAUGGGGACAGCCGGAGAACCCUUUUAGGUUCUAUAUAGCACCUUUUAAUUUGAUUUUCAGAGAUCAUAAGGAAAAACCACCUAAAUCAAUUGGUGUGCUUUUACAAUCCCCUUCUCCAAAUGGAUUGCUCAUUUACCUAGCUCUUACCAAUAGCUCUUAUCCAUUUAUAAAUUACCAUGCAUGGAGAAUGCUGUUAUUUCUAUCGAAAUUUUUUUAAG
RNAcentral lists this long non-coding RNA (2976 nucleotides) under Salmo salar (Atlantic salmon). RNAcentral describes it as "lncRNA (ENSSSAG00000122280.1)". The record is from RNAcentral. Lineage: Eukaryota; Metazoa; Chordata; Actinopteri; Salmoniformes; Salmonidae.